This is a small nucleolar RNA of 105 nucleotides. Its record names the gene U3. It matches the Rfam family "Small nucleolar RNA U3". Rfam says of the family: Small nucleolar RNAs (snoRNAs) are involved in the processing and modification of rRNA in the nucleolus. There are two main classes of snoRNAs: the box C/D class, and the box H/ACA class. The record is from Ensembl.
AAAACUAUACUUUCAGGAAUCAUUUCUAUAGUUCGUUACUAGAGAAGUUUCUCCAGACGUGUAGAGCACCCAAUAUAAACUGGUACAACCACCAUGGGAAACAGU